This 497-nucleotide ribosomal RNA is filed under the name uncultured bacterium. RNAcentral's name for it is "partial 16S ribosomal RNA". It matches the Rfam family "Bacterial small subunit ribosomal RNA", at positions 28 to 507 of the family's 1533-position model. The record is from RNAcentral.
GAUGAACGCUGGCGGCGUGCCUAAUACAUGCAAGUCGAGCGAACAGACGAGGAGCUUGCUCCUCUGACGUUAGCGGCGGACGGGUGAGUAACACGUGGAUAACCUACCUAUAAGACUGGGAUAACUUCGGGAAACCGGAGCUAAUACCGGAUAAUCUAUUGAACCGCAUGGUUCAAUAGUGAAAGACGGUUUUGCUGUCACUUAUAGAUGGAUCCGCGCCGCAUUAGCUAGUUGGUAAGGUAACGGCUUACCAAGGCAACGAUGCGUAGCCGACCUGAGAGGGUGAUCGGCCACACGGGAACUGAGACACGGUCCAGAGUCCUACGGGAGGCAGCAGUAUGGAAUCUGCCGCAAGGGGCGAAAGCCUGACGGAGCAACGCCGCGUGAGUGAUGAAGGUCUUCGGAUCGUAAAACUCUGUUAUUAGGGAAGAACAAAUGUGUAAGUAACUAUGCACGUCGUGACGGUACCGAAUCAGAAAGCCACGGCUAACUACGUG